AUGGAGCCGACCUUGAAAUACCACCCUUUAAUGUUUGAUGUUCUAACGUUGACCCGUAAUCCGGGUUGCGGACAGUGUCUGGUGGGUAGUUUGACUGGGGCGGUCUCCUCCUAAAGAGUAACGGAGGAGCACGAAGGUUGGCUAAUCCUGGUCGGACAUCAGGAGGUUAGUGCAAUGGCAUAAGCCAGCUUGACUGCGAGCGUGACGGCGCGAGCAGGUGCGAAAGCAGGUCAUAGUGAUCCGGUGGUUCUGAAUGGAAGGGCCAUCGCUCAACGGAUAAAAGGUACUCCGGGGAUAACAGGCUGAUACCGCCCAAGAGUUCAUAUCGACGGCGGUGUUUGGCACCUCGAUGUCGGCUCAUCACAUCCUGGGGCUGAAGUAGGUCCCAAGGGUAUGGCUGUUCGCCAUUUAAAGUGGUACGCGAGCUGGGUUUAGAACGUCGUGAGACAGUUCGGUCCCUAUCUGCCGUG
Molecule: ribosomal RNA, 470 nt
Filed under: Escherichia coli
Lineage: Bacteria; Pseudomonadati; Pseudomonadota; Gammaproteobacteria; Enterobacterales; Enterobacteriaceae
Description: partial 23S ribosomal RNA
Rfam family: Bacterial large subunit ribosomal RNA
Source: RNAcentral